AGUAAACGGCGGCCGUAACAAUAACGGUCCUAAGGUAGCGAAAUUCCUUGUCGGGUAAGUUCCGACCCGCACGAAAGGCGUAACGAUUUGGGCACUGUCUCAACGAGAGACUCGGUGAAAUCAUAGUACCUGUGAAGAUGCAGGUUACCCGCGACAGGACGGAAAGACCCCGUGGAGCUUUACUGUAGUCUGAUAUUGAAAUUCGGUACAGCUUGUACAGGAUAGGUAGGAGCCUUUGAAACGUGAGCGCUAGCUUACGUGGAGGCGCUGGUGGGAUACUACCCUCGCUGUAUUGGAUUUCUAACCCGCACCAUUAAUCAUGGUGGGAGACAGUGUCAGAUGGACAGUUUGACUGGGGCGGUCGCCUCCUAAAAGGUAACGGAGGCGCCCAAAGGUUCCCUCAGCCUGGUUGGCAAUCAGGUGUUGAGUGUAAGUGCACAAGGGAGCUUGACUGUGAGACUGGCAGGUCGAGCAGGGACGAAAGUCG
Molecule: ribosomal RNA, 487 nt
Filed under: Anophryoides haemophila
Lineage: Eukaryota; Ciliophora; Oligohymenophorea; Philasterida; Glauconematidae
Description: partial Bacterial large subunit ribosomal RNA
Rfam family: Bacterial large subunit ribosomal RNA
Source: RNAcentral